GACGAACGCUGGCGGCGUGCCUAAUACAUGCAAGUAGAACGCUGACGGCGUAGCUUGCUUCUCCUGAUUAGUUGCGAACGGGUGAGUAACGCGUAGAUACCCUGCCUGGUAGCGGGUGACAACUAUUGGACACGAUAGCUAAUACCGCAUAACAGUAUAUGUUGCAUGACAUUUGCUUAAAAGGUGCAAUUGCUUCACUACCAGAUGGACCUGCGUCGUAUUAUCUAGUUGUUGAGGUAACGGCUCACCACGACGACGAUACAUAGCCGACCUGGGAGGGGGAUCGGCCACACCGAGAUUGGAACAGGGCCCAGACCCAAACGGGAGGCAGCAGUAGGGGAUCUUAGGAAAUGGAAGGAAGUCUGACCGAGAAACGCCGAGUGAGUGAAGAAGGGUUUCGGAUCGUAAAGCGCUGUUGUAAGAGAAGAACGAGUGUGGGAGUGGAAAGUUCACACUGUGACGGUAUCUUACCAGAAAGGGACGGCUAACUACGUG
Molecule: ribosomal RNA, 495 nt
Filed under: uncultured bacterium
Lineage: Bacteria
Description: partial 16S ribosomal RNA
Rfam family: Bacterial small subunit ribosomal RNA
Source: RNAcentral